UACGGAGGGGGCUAGCGUUAUUCGGAAUCAUUGGGCGUAAAGGGCGCGUAGGCGGCCUGAUAAGUCAGGGGUGAAAUCCCUCGGCUCAACCGAGGAACUGCCUUUGAAACUGUCGGGCUCGAGGCCGGGAGAGGGUAGCGGAAUUCCGAGUGUAGCGGUGAAAUGCGUAGAUAUUCGGAGGAACACCAGUGGCGAAGGCGGCUACCUGGACCGGUUCUGACGCUGAGGCGCGAAAGCGUGGGGAGCAAACAGG
This 253-nucleotide unclassified non-coding RNA is filed under the name uncultured Acidobacteriota bacterium. Its description in RNAcentral is "uncultured Acidobacteria bacterium contains 16S-23S intergenic spacer region". It matches the Rfam family "Bacterial small subunit ribosomal RNA", at positions 524 to 776 of the family's 1533-position model. The record is from RNAcentral. Lineage: Bacteria; Pseudomonadati; Acidobacteriota.